UAAAGCUGAACUUUAAAUAUGAUAGUUAUUAAGGCUUGUCCAGGCUUGAGAUUUAGCUCAUAUAAAUUCUGACAGGAACAAAUGACUCUAAAUUGUGACCAAACCUUUCUUUUUCCCCAUUCCCUUGCCCUUCCAGGUCUGCAGUUUGAAGAGGAAACGGUGAAUAAGAAUAGCACAAGAAGAUAAACAGCUACUUGGAAACAAAGUUUUCCAGCUCCCUUCCUAAUGCAAAACUUUAUAGCAAUGUGCUGUGCUGCAGUUGAAGGCAAUGUGGCUGUGACAGGUGUCUCCAGAUGUUUAUGAAGAACCAGCGCAAAGGAGAUGAUCUAUUUGACAGGCAGAACGCAUGGAAAGAAAAAAACAUGGGGUUCAGGGGAGAAAAUCUACAGCAGAAGCCAGCAAGGUGAGAAUUGGGGCUGUUUAUGAAGAAGAGCACAACUUUGUGCCUCCUCACAGAACAGAGUAACACUAGUAAUUUGGAAAAAGGACUUGCAAAGAAUUUCCAGAGCACUGAGGCCUGGUUAAUUGUCUUUUAAGAUGCACCCAGUUCUCAGUUGCAUGGUACACUUGUCAAAUUUAUUAAAAUGACACAUCUAUUUGUAACCCUCUGAUAAGAACCUGAUUAAAUUUUUUGCCUGACUCGUUGGAGAUCCCAGUGAUGUCCCUUCUAAUAAAUGUCGAUGGCAUUUGUCA
RNAcentral lists this long non-coding RNA (693 nucleotides) under Anser brachyrhynchus (Pink-footed goose). RNAcentral's name for it is "lncRNA (ENSABRG00000013997.1)". The record is from RNAcentral. Lineage: Eukaryota; Metazoa; Chordata; Aves; Anseriformes; Anatidae.